UAUACCUUAAGUAAACAGAACUGUGGGGACACGUGUGGAGAGCACAAGCCGGAAAUGGAAAAGCCGGUGCAAGCGAGGUAGGAGUACAGUAGGCAAAUCCGCUGUACAAUCCGAAGACGUGAUGCGGACCGAAUUAAGAGUAGGGGAGUGUGUGAGCCAUGCGUCAAGAAAAGCCGCUAUUGUUUUACUUAAGCCCGUACCGUAAACCGAUACAGGUGGAUGAGGAGAGAAUCCUAAGGCCGACGGGAGAAGCAUUGUUAAGGAACUCGGCAAAAUGACUCCGUAACUUCGGGAGAAGGAGUGCCAGCGAGAGCUGGCCGCAGAGAAUUGGCCCAAGCAACUGUUUAGCAAAACACAGGUCUAUGCAAAACCGUAAGGUGAAGUAUAUGGGCUGACGCCUGCCCGGUGCUGGAAGGUUAAGAGGAGAGGUUAGCGGCAACGCGAAGCUUUGAAUUUAAGCCCCAGUAAACGGCGGCCGUAACUAUAACGGUCCUAAGGUAGCGAAAUUCCUUGUCGGGUAAGUUCCGACCCGCACGAAAGGCGUAAUGAUUUGGGCACUGUCUCAACAAUGCACCCGGUGAAAUUGAAAUACCAGUGAAGGUGCUGGUUACCUGCGCCAGGACGGAAAGACCCCAUGGAGCUUUACUCCAGCUUGAUACUGGGAUUCGGUAUUGCAUGUACAGGAUCGGUGGGAGGCUAGGAAGUGAUAACGCCAGUUGUCACGGAGCCGCUGUUGGGAUACCACCCUUGCAGUAUUGGAUUUCUAACCAGCGACCAUGAACUGGUCGGGGGACAAUGUCAGGUGGGGAGUUUGACUGGGGCGGUCGCCUCCGAAAGGGUAUCGGAGGCGCUCAAAGGUUCCCUCAGAAUGGACGGAAACCAUUCGAAGAGUGCAAAGGCAGAAGGGAGCUUGACUGCGACACCGACGGGUGGAGCAGGUACGAAAGUAGGACUUAGUGAUCCGGUGGUAUAAAGUGGGAUUGCCAUCGCUCAACGGAUAAAAGCUACCCUGGGAUAACAGGCUUAUCACUCCCAAGAGUUCACAUCGACGGAGUGGUUUGGCACCUCGAUGUCGGCUCAUCGCAUCCUGGGGCUGAAGUAGGUCCCAAGGGUUGGGCUGUUCGCCCAUUAAAGCGGUACCCGAGCUGGGUUCAGAACGUCGUGAGACAGUUCGGUCCCUAUCCGGCGUGGGCGUAGGAUAUUUGAGAGGAGCUGUCCUUAGUACGAGAGGACCGGGAUGGACUGGCCGCUGGUGUAUCUGUUGCAUACCAAAUGCAUGGCAGAGUAGCCAAGCCGGGACGGGAUAAACGCUGAAGGCAUCUAAGCGUGAAGCCCCCCUCAAGAUGAGAUAUCCCUACGUAAGUAGUAAGACCCCUUGAAGACGACGAGGUAGAUAGGUCAGAGGUGGAAGUACAGUAAUGUAUGGAGCUGACUAAUACUAAUCGGUCGAGGGCAUGACU
RNAcentral lists this ribosomal RNA (1460 nucleotides) under metagenome. Its description in RNAcentral is "bacterial LSU rRNA". It matches the Rfam family "Bacterial large subunit ribosomal RNA", at positions 1440 to 2925 of the family's 2925-position model. The record is from RNAcentral.